GCAGUCGAACGGCAGCGCGGGAGCAAUCCUGGCGGCGAGUGGCGAACGGGUGAGUAAUACAUCGGAACGUGCCCAAUCGUGGGGGAUAACGCAGCGAAAGCUGUGCUAAUACCGCAUACGAUCUACGGAUGAAAGCAGGGGAUCGCAAGACCUUGCGCGAAUGGAGCGGCCGAUGGCAGAUUAGGUAGUUGGUGAGGUAAAGGCUCACCAAGCCUUCGAUCUGUAGCUGGUCUGAGAGGACGACCAGCCACACUGGGACUGAGACACGGCCCAGACUCCUACGGGAGGCAGCAGUGGGGAAUUUUGGACAAUGGGCGAAAGCCUGAUCCAGCCAUGCCGCGUGCAGGAUGAAGGCCUUCGGGUUGUAAACUGCUUUUGUACGGAACGAAACGGCCUUUUCUAAUAAAGAGGGCUAAUGACGGUACCGUAAGAAUAAGCACCGGCUAACUACGUGCCAGCAGCCGCGGUAAUACGUAGGGUGCAAGCGUUAAUCGGAAUUACUGGGCGUAAAGCGUGCGCAGGCGGUUAUGUAAGACAGUUGUGNAAUCCCCGGGCUCAACCUGGGAACUGCAUCUGUGACUGCAUAGCUAGAGUACGGUAGAGGGGGAUGGAAUUCCGCGUGU
This 623-nucleotide ribosomal RNA is filed under the name bacterium 58-L049616-122-011-B08. RNAcentral's name for it is "bacterial SSU rRNA". It matches the Rfam family "Bacterial small subunit ribosomal RNA", at positions 57 to 676 of the family's 1533-position model. The record is from RNAcentral.